UCGACGGCAGCACGGGUGCUUGCACCUGGUGGCGAGUGGCGAACGGGUGAGUAAUGCGUCGGAACGUACCGAGUAAUGGGGGAUAACGCAGCGAAAGUUGUGCUAAUACCGCAUACGCCCUGAGGGGGAAAGUGGGGGACCGCAAGGCCUCACGUUAUUCGAGCGGCCGACGUCUGAUUAGCUAGUUGGUGGGGUAAAGGCCUACCAAGGCGACGAUCAGUAGCGGGUCUGAGAGGAUGAUCCGCCACACUGGGACUGAGACACGGCCCAGACUCCUACGGGAGGCAGCAGUGGGGAAUUUUGGACAAUGGGGGCAACCCUGAUCCAGCCAUUCCGCGUGAGUGAAGAAGGCCUUCGGGUUGUAAAGCUCUUUCAGCUGGAACGAAACGGUACGCGCUAACAUCGUGUGCUAAUGACGGUACCGGCAGAAGAAGCACCGGCUAACUACGUGCCAGCAGCCGCGGUAAUACGUAGGGUGCGAGCGUUAAUCGGAAUUACUGGGCGUAAAGCGUGCGCAGGCGGAUUGUUAAGCAAGACGUGAAAUCCCCGGGCUUAACCUGGGAAUGGCGUUUUGAACUGGCAGUCUAGAGUGCGUCAGAGGGGGGUGGAAUUCCACGUGUAGCAGUGAAAUGCGUAGAGAUGUGGAGGAACACCGAUGGCGAAGGCAGCCCCCUGGGAUGACACUGACGCUCAUGUACGAAAGCGUGGGUAGCAAACAGGAUUAGAUACCCUGGUAGUCCACGCCCUAAACGAUGUCAACUGGUUGUUGGGGGAGUGAAAUCCCUUAGUAACGAAGCUAACGCGU
RNAcentral lists this ribosomal RNA (805 nucleotides) under uncultured bacterium. RNAcentral describes it as "bacterial SSU rRNA". It matches the Rfam family "Bacterial small subunit ribosomal RNA", at positions 62 to 860 of the family's 1533-position model. The record is from RNAcentral.